GCAAGUCGAACGGUAACAGGAAAUAGCUUGCUUUAAUUGUCAGCUAAGUGGCGCACGGGUGAGUAAUAUAUAGGUAACGUGCCUUCAAGAAGGGGAUAACGUUUGGAAACGAACGCUAAUACCCUAUAUGCCUUUAAGUCUUAAGACUGCAAGGGAAAUAUUUAUAGCUUGAAGAUCGGCCUGUACAGUAUCAGUUAGUUGGUGAGGUAAUGGCUCACCAAGACAAUGACGCUUAACUGGUUUGAGAGGAUGAUC
Molecule: ribosomal RNA, 255 nt
Filed under: uncultured bacterium
Lineage: Bacteria
Description: partial 16S ribosomal RNA
Rfam family: Bacterial small subunit ribosomal RNA
Source: RNAcentral